This 72-nucleotide transfer RNA is filed under the name Camelus bactrianus (Bactrian camel). It matches the Rfam family "tRNA". Rfam says of the family: Transfer RNA (tRNA) molecules are approximately 80 nucleotides in length. Their secondary structure includes four short double-helical elements and three loops (D, anti-codon, and T loops). Further hydrogen bonds mediate the characteristic L-shaped molecular structure. tRNAs have two regions of fundamental functional importance: the anti-codon, which is responsible for specific mRNA codon recognition, and the 3' end, to which the tRNAs corresponding amino acid is attached (by aminoacyl-tRNA synthetases). tRNAs cope with the degeneracy of the genetic code in two manners: having more than one tRNA (with a specific anti-codon) for a particular amino acid; and 'wobble' base-pairing, i.e. permitting non-standard base-pairing at the 3rd anti-codon position. Lineage: Eukaryota; Metazoa; Chordata; Mammalia; Artiodactyla; Camelidae. The record is from Rfam by way of RNAcentral. RNAcentral also lists the same sequence under 1 other name.
GAGGGUAUAGCUCAGCGGUAGAGUGCCUGCUUGGCAUGCGUGAGGUCCUGGGUUCAAUUCCUAGUACCUCCA